UACGGAGGGUGCAAGCGUUGAUCGGAAUUAUUGGGCGUAAAGCGUACGUAGGUGGUUUGUUAAGCCAGCUGUGAAAUCCCCGGGCUCAACCUGGGCACUGCAGUUGAAACUGGCAAGCUAGAGUAGGGUAGAGGGGUGUGGAAUUCCAGGUGUAGCGGUGAAAUGCGUAGAUAUCUGGAGGAACAUCAGUGGCGAAGGCGACCCCCUGGACUCAUACUGACACUGAGGUACGAAAGCGUGGGGAGCAAACAGG
Molecule: ribosomal RNA, 253 nt
Filed under: uncultured bacterium
Lineage: Bacteria
Description: partial 16S ribosomal RNA
Rfam family: Bacterial small subunit ribosomal RNA
Source: RNAcentral